AUGCUCUCCUCGUCGCUCGCCUUCUCACCCCACCACCUAGCCCCUUCCCCCUCUGCUGUUCGCCGGAGCACAUCUUCCACCAUCACGAUGCGGGACCGGGGCAAGAACCGGAAGCCGAUGCAGCGGGGGCGCUACCUCAGCACCGAGGCCAUCCAGGCCGUCCAGUCGCUCAAGCGCGCCACCCUCUCUGGAGCACCCGCCGGCGGCGCCGUCGCGACGGACCCCAAGCUGCGGCGGCUGCUGAAGGCCGACAUGGUCGCCGUCUUCCGCGAGCUCGCGGCGCAGGGCGAGGCCCACCUGGCACUCAAGGUCUUUGAGGAGAUUCGAAAGGAGCACUGGUACAAACCUAGGUUGUUCUGGUAUGUUGAUCUUAUUACAGUGCUUGCUAGCAAAGAAUUGAGGUCCGAGGUUGGCAAAGCCUGUUCGUAUCUGAAGAGGGAACAAUUGGAACCCGACACGGAUGGUUUCAAUCUGCUUCUGAAGACACUCUUAGAUGCUGAGUUCACACAAUUAACAAUGGACUGCUUCCGUCUUAUGAAACUAUGGGACAGUGAACCUGAUAGGAUAACAUACAUAAUACUGGUCAAGGGUCUUGAAUCCCUAGGAGAGAUGGAUCUAUCUGCUAAGAUGAGGUUGGAAGCAGAAAGUGACUAUGGAGACCUCUGGGACUUCUUUGACGAAGAGGAGGCGAUUUAG
Molecule: ribosomal RNA, 696 nt
Filed under: Triticum aestivum (bread wheat)
Lineage: Eukaryota; Viridiplantae; Streptophyta; Magnoliopsida; Poales; Poaceae
Description: partial small subunit ribosomal RNA
Source: RNAcentral